This 296-nucleotide ribosomal RNA is filed under the name uncultured bacterium. Its description in RNAcentral is "partial 16S ribosomal RNA". It matches the Rfam family "Bacterial small subunit ribosomal RNA", at positions 30 to 334 of the family's 1533-position model. The record is from RNAcentral.
AUUGAACGCUGGCGGUAGGCCUAACACAUACAAGUCGAGCGGAAACACUUCGGGUGUCGAGCGGCGGACGGGUGAGUAACGCGUAGAAAUCUGCCUAGUAGUGGGGGAUAACUUGGGGAAACCCAAGCUAAUACCGCAUACGUCCUACGGGAGAGAGGAGGGGACCUUCGGGCCUUUCGCUAUUAGAUGAGUCUGCGUCAGAUUAGCUAGUUGGUGAGGUAAUGGCUCACCAAGGCGACGAUCUGUAGCUGGUCUGAGAGGAUGAUCAGCCACACUGGGACUGAGACACGGCCCAG